AGCGAACGCUGGCGGCAGGCCUAACACAUGCAAGUCGAACGAACCUUUCGGGGUUAGUGGCGGAUGGGUGAGUAACACGUGGGAACGUGCCUUUAUGUUCGGAAUAACUCAGGGAAACUUGUGCUAAUACCGAAUGUGCCCUUCGAGGGAAAGAUUUAUCGCCUUUAGAGCGGCCCGCGUCUGAUUAGCUAGUUGGUUGAGGUAAUGGCUCACCAAGGCGACGAUCAGUAGGUGGUAUGAGAGGAUGAUCAGCCACAUUGGGACUGAGACACGGCCCAAAAUCUUACGCGAGGCAGCAGUGGGGAAUCUUGCGAAAUGGGCGAAAGCCUGACGCAGCCAUGCCGCGUGAAUGAUGAAGGUCUUAGGAAUGUAAAAUUCUUUCACCGGGGACGAUAAUGACGGUACCCGGAGAAGAAGCCCCGGCUAACUUCGUG
RNAcentral lists this ribosomal RNA (434 nucleotides) under uncultured bacterium. RNAcentral's name for it is "partial 16S ribosomal RNA". It matches the Rfam family "Bacterial small subunit ribosomal RNA", at positions 29 to 507 of the family's 1533-position model. The record is from RNAcentral.